GAUGAAGAACGUAGUGAAAUGCGAUACGUAAUGUGAAUUGCAAAUUCAGUGAAUCAUCGAGUCUUUGAACGCACAUUGCGCCCCCUGGUAUUCCGGGGGGCAUGCCUGUCCGAGCGUCAUUGCUGCCCUCAAGCACGGCUUGUGUGUUGGGCCCCGUCCUCCGAUCCCGGGGGACGGGCCCGAAAGGCAGCGGCGGCACCGCGUCCGGUCCUCGAGCGUAUGGGGCUUUGUCACCCGCUCUGUAGGCCCGGCCGGCGCUUGCCGAUCAACCCAAAUUUUUAUCCAGGUUGACCUCGAAUCAGGUAGGAAUACCCGCUGAACUUAAGCAUAUCAAUAAGCGGAGGA
RNAcentral lists this unclassified non-coding RNA (345 nucleotides) under soil metagenome. Its description in RNAcentral is "partial contains 5.8S ribosomal RNA, internal transcribed spacer 2, and large subunit ribosomal RNA". The stretch from base 1 to 119 matches the Rfam family "5.8S ribosomal RNA", at positions 35 to 154 of the family's 154-position model. The record is from RNAcentral.